CUGAUGCAGCGACGCCGCGUGAGGGAUGGAGGCCUUCGGGUUGUGAACCUCUUUCGCUCAUGGUCAAGCCGCAACUGUGGGUUGUGGUGAGGGUAGUGGGUAAAGAAGCGCCGGCUAACUACGUGCCAGCAGCCGCGGUAAUACGUAGGGCGCGAGCGUUGUCCGGAAUUAUUGGGCGUAAAGGGCUUGUAGGCGGUUGGUCGCGUCUGCCGUGAAAUCCUCUGGCUUAACUGGGGGCGUGCGGUGGGUACGGGCUGACUUGAGUGCGGUAGGGGAGACUGGAACUCCUGGUGUAGCGGUGGAAUGCGCAGAUAUCAGGAAGAACACCGGUGGCGAAGGCGGGUCUCUGGGCCGUUACUGACGCUGAGGAGCGAAAGCGUGGGGAGCGAACA
Molecule: ribosomal RNA, 392 nt
Filed under: Schaalia meyeri
Lineage: Bacteria; Bacillati; Actinomycetota; Actinomycetes; Actinomycetales; Actinomycetaceae
Description: bacterial SSU rRNA
Rfam family: Bacterial small subunit ribosomal RNA
Source: RNAcentral